AUUCUUUUAACAAUAGUACUUCAACUGUCAUUUCCUUCUUUUAUUUUUCUCUUUCAUGGAUGCCAUGUUCUUUGGAAGUUUGUUUAGAUCAAGUUAAUGGCCUUUUAGGCUUGGUCCACGUGAAUAGGACUUCACUUUUUGAAUAACAAGAAUUAUAUGUCA
Pipistrellus kuhlii (Kuhl's pipistrelle) is the source of this 162-nucleotide long non-coding RNA. RefSeq lists it as uncharacterized. Lineage: Eukaryota; Metazoa; Chordata; Mammalia; Chiroptera; Vespertilionidae. The transcript has 3 exons. The record is from RefSeq and is a predicted model, not a curated record.